This 72-nucleotide transfer RNA is filed under the name Ovis aries (sheep). It matches the Rfam family "tRNA". From Rfam's summary of the family: Transfer RNA (tRNA) molecules are approximately 80 nucleotides in length. The record is from Rfam by way of RNAcentral. Lineage: Eukaryota; Metazoa; Chordata; Mammalia; Artiodactyla; Bovidae.
UCCCUGGUAGCUCAGAGGUUAAAGCAUCUGCCUGCAAUGCAGAAGACCUGGGUUCGACCCCUGGAUCGGGAA